GCUGGGCAUGGUGGCGCGUGCCUGUAAUCCCAGUUACUCGGGAGGCUGAGGCGGGAGAAUUGCUUGAAUCCAGGAGGCGGAGGUGGCGGUGAGCCGAGACUGCCAUUGCACUCCAGCCUGGGUAACAAGAGCAAAACUCCGUCUCAA
Callithrix jacchus (white-tufted-ear marmoset) is the source of this 147-nucleotide unclassified non-coding RNA. It matches the Rfam family "Metazoan signal recognition particle RNA". Rfam says of the family: The signal recognition particle (SRP) is a universally conserved ribonucleoprotein. Lineage: Eukaryota; Metazoa; Chordata; Mammalia; Primates; Cebidae. The record is from Ensembl.